Molecule: ribosomal RNA, 661 nt
Filed under: uncultured Bacteroidales bacterium
Lineage: Bacteria; Pseudomonadati; Bacteroidota; Bacteroidia; Bacteroidales
Description: bacterial SSU rRNA
Rfam family: Bacterial small subunit ribosomal RNA
Source: RNAcentral
AGGCCGAUGGCGACCGGCGCACGGGUGAGUAACACGUAUCCAACCUGCCGUCUACUCUUGGACAGCCUUCUGAAAGGAAGAUUAAUACAAGAUGGCAUCAUGAGUCCACAUGUUCACAUGAUUAAAGGUAUUCCGGUAGACGAUGGGGAUGCGCUCCAUUAGAUAGUAGGCGGGGUAACGGCCCACCUAGUCUUCGAUGGAUAGGGGUUCUGAGAGGAAGGUCCCCCACAUUGGAACUGAGACACGGUCCAAACUCCUACGGGAGGCAGCAGUGAGGAAUAUUGGUCAAUGGGCGAGAGCCUGAACCAGCCAAGUAGCGUGAAGGAUGACUGCCCUAUGGGUUGUAAACUUCUUUUAUAAAGGAAUAAAGUCGGGUAUGCAUACCCGUUUGCAUGUACUUUAUGAAUAAGGAUCGGCUAACUCCGUGCCAGCAGCCGCGGUAAUACGGAGGAUCCGAGCGUUAUCCGGAUUUAUUGGGUUUAAAGGGAGCGUAGAUGGAUGUUUAAGUCAGUCGUGAAAGUUUGCGGCUCAACCGUAAAAUUGCAGUUGAUACUGGAUAUCUUGAGUGCAGUUGAGGCAGGCGGAAUUCGUGGUGUAGCGGUGAAAUGCUUAGAUAUCACGAAGAACUCCGAUUGCGAAGGCAGCCUGCUAAGCUGCAACU